Molecule: ribosomal RNA, 474 nt
Filed under: uncultured bacterium
Lineage: Bacteria
Description: bacterial SSU rRNA
Rfam family: Bacterial small subunit ribosomal RNA
Source: RNAcentral
ACGCUGGCGGCGUGCCUAACACAUGCAAGUCAACUUGACUGAAGGAGCAAUCUGACAGUAGAGUGGCGCAAGGGUGCGUAACGCGUAAGUAACUUGCCCAAGGUAAGGAAUAACGUCGAGAAAUCGGCGCUAAUACCUCAUAAUGCAGCGGAUCCGCAUGGAUACGUUGUUAAAGGUUUACCGCCUUGGGAUAGGCUUGCGUCUGAUUAGCUAGUUGGUGUGGUAACGGCACACCAAGGCUACGAUCAGUAACUGGUCUGAGAGGAUGAUCAGUCACACUGGAACUGAGACACGGUCCAGACUCCUACGGGAGGCAGCAGUGAGGAAUAUUGGGCAAUGCUCGAAAGAGUGACCCAGCAACGCCGCGUGGAGGAUGAAGGUAUUCUAUAUCGUAAACUCCUGUGAGAGCAGACGAAAGACAGAUUAUCAAUCUGGAUGACUGUAUGCUCAGAGGAAGCCCCGGCUAACUACGUG